AGAGCUGUACGAGAGAUGUCAGGUAAUUCCGUUUAAUUUAUUGAUGACAUUACUCCACCAAACACAUUGCAUCGCCGAAUUAAUAUUAACGGUCUUACUCAUUAAUGGGGGCAUUAAAACAUCCGUGCAAAUCAAUAUCCGUAUGUUUUUCGUUAUACCCUUCACUCGUUUUAAAAUUGUUUAUUAUAUGCAUUAUAAUCGUGUGGGACUUUAGUGUUUCAUUCUAAUGAGGUAGGUGUUAUUUUCGCUUGCACGGAUUAACGUUUGCAGUGAAUUUUUGCCGGUUCGCACUUUAGAUAUGAAUUUAUUUCGGUUAUAAUUGCCUCAUGUAGCGUGCUUAUAUAAUGAUAUAAUGGCCUGCAGCGCUGCGCUGAACAUAAAAACGUUUAUCCACUAUAGUUACAUUUUGUUUUCAUUGAAUGAGAGAUUCUUUAUGGUUUUAAUGUAAAUUGUUACAUAUACAGAUUACCAUCGCAUUUAU
RNAcentral lists this unclassified non-coding RNA (481 nucleotides) under Melitaea cinxia (Glanville fritillary). RNAcentral describes it as "misc RNA ENSMCXG00005017341.1". Lineage: Eukaryota; Metazoa; Arthropoda; Insecta; Lepidoptera; Nymphalidae. The record is from RNAcentral.